This 1539-nucleotide long non-coding RNA is filed under the name Panax ginseng (ginseng). RNAcentral's name for it is "long non-coding RNA (PGIN_LNC004900)". The record is from RNAcentral. Lineage: Eukaryota; Viridiplantae; Streptophyta; Magnoliopsida; Apiales; Araliaceae.
GCGGGUUUGGUCCAAGUUCCGACCCAGUAAAAAAAAGCUAAAGCAAAAAAACCUAAUCACUCGCUCUCGGAACUUCAAACACGAUCGACCCAAACGAAAAGAGAAAAACAGAGAUUACGAUCGACCCAAAGUCCAAACACGAUCGAUCUCGCAACUGACUCCAAAGUCCAAACAUUCGCAAGUCGCGAACGAGUGAGAGAGAGAGAAACGAACCUGCUUCGGCGCUCUUCGGCGACGACUUUACAGUUAACAGGUAUGGAGCACUUCUCAGUUCUUCUCUUCUUCUUCUACUCUGCUUCUCGUCAAACCCAUCCUCUGAUUUUGUUCAGUUCUAGAUUUUGUUUUAUUUAUUUCCUACUUUUUGUUCAGUUGAAGAGGGGAGUGAGUCGAGUGACAAUAGCUGUUGUUCUAAGUUAUUGAUUAUGUAUUAAUUUAACUACGAUUCUUUUUUGCAAGUGAUAAACACAAUUUAAUAUUUUAUUUUAAUUUUUUUAAAAUAGUACUUUUUGAUCACAAAUUAAGUUGAGGGAUUAAUUGAUCAAUUAGGAUUGUGUUUUAUUACUAUGUUGUAAAAUGUCAUGCAUUGUGAUUUCUGGUAAUAUAAAGCAGAAAGAGAAGUUAUUAACUAGGAUUAUAUUUUAGUCCUUUUUCUUUUGUAGUUCUUGAUUAUAAAUAAAUUUAUAAUGUCAUCUAUGUUUAGUUGUUUACUUGUUUUGUUAUUACAAUUUUACAAAUUACAAUGUCUUGUUUGUUUGUUUAAUUGUAUUUUGUAGAAUUGUAGAUAGUUAAAUGGCGGAAAGUUCAGGAGCUGAGGGUUAUGAUCCAACUAAGGAUCCUAAAAGAAAGGGCAAGUCUAAAGAUCCGGGGUGGAAAUAUGCAUUUUGGCCAGAAUUGAGCGAUAAAAAUCUUGUGCAAUGCAUUCUAUGUGGAAAAAAGGUUCAUGGAGGAAUCAAGAGAUUUAAACAACAUCUUACCGGUAGGUAUGGGGAUGUGUCCAAGUGUCCUCGAACUACAACAGAAAUUUCAAAUGAGAUGCAUCAAGCAAUAAUGGGUAACAUAAGGAAUAAGCCAAUUCAAUUUGAUGACCAUGACGAAGUAGAAGAAAUUCAGUCAUCUAAUAUUCCAAACAUGCUUGUUAAGUCGUCGACUAGUCGUCGCCUAGGCGACGACUAGGCGUCAAGUCGGAAAAAAUUUUCGAGUCGUUGGGUCGACUUGGUUGGAAAGCAGAAAGGCGCGCGCUCAGACACCGACUCGGACGCUUUGGACGACUUCUGAGCGACUUGGACGACUAUAUUUGUAAGUCGUCGACUUGUUUGAGCGGGUUUGGUCUGAGUUCCGACCCAGUAAAAAAAAGCUAAAGCAAAAAAACCUAAUCACUCGCUCUCGGAACUUCAAACACGAUCGACCCAAACGAAAAGAGAAAAACAGAGAUUACGAUCGACCCAAAGUCCAAACACGAUCGAUCUCGCAACUGACUCCAAAGUCCAAACAUUCGCAAAUCGCGAACGAGUGAGAGAGAGAGAAACAAACCUGCUUCGG